This 466-nucleotide ribosomal RNA is filed under the name Streptococcus mitis. RNAcentral describes it as "bacterial SSU rRNA". It matches the Rfam family "Bacterial small subunit ribosomal RNA", at positions 28 to 475 of the family's 1533-position model. Lineage: Bacteria; Bacillati; Bacillota; Bacilli; Lactobacillales; Streptococcaceae. The record is from RNAcentral.
GACGAACGCUGGCGGCGUGCCUAAUACAUGCAAGUAGAACGCUGAAGGAGGAGCUUGCUUCUCUGGAUGAGUUGCGAACGGGUGAGUAACGCGUAGGUAACCUGCCUGGUAGCGGGGGAUAACUAUUGGAAACGAUAGCUAAUACCGCAUAAGAGUAGAUGUUGCAUGACAUUUGCUUAAAAGGUGCAAUUGCAUCACUACCAGAUGGACCUGCGUUGUAUUAGCUAGUUGGUGAGGUAACGGCUCACCAAGGCGACGAUACAUAGCCGACCUGAGAGGGUGAUCGGCCACACUGGGACUGAGACACGGCCCAGACUCCUACGGGAGGCAGCAGUAGGGAAUCUUCGGCAAUGGACGGAAGUCUGACCGAGCAACGCCGCGUGAGUGAAGAAGGUUUUCGGAUCGUAAAGCUCUGUUGUAAGAGAAGAGCGAGUGUGAGAAGUGGAAAGUUUCAACACUGUGACGG